Molecule: ribosomal RNA, 254 nt
Filed under: uncultured bacterium
Lineage: Bacteria
Description: partial 16S ribosomal RNA
Rfam family: Bacterial small subunit ribosomal RNA
Source: RNAcentral
UACGAAGGGGGCGAGCGUUGUUCGGAUUUACUGGGCGUAAAGCGUGCGCAGGCGGUCUGUUAAGACCGAUGUGAAAUCCCCGGGCUUAACCUGGGAACUGCAUUGGUGACUGGCAGGCUUUGAGUGUGGCAGAGGGAGGUAGAAUUCCACGUGUAGCAGUGAAAUGCGUAGAGAUGUGGAGGAAUACCGAUGGCGAAGGCAGCCUCCUGGGCCAACACUGACGCUCAUGCACGAAAGCGUGGGGAGCAAACAGG